RNAcentral lists this ribosomal RNA (407 nucleotides) under uncultured bacterium. RNAcentral describes it as "bacterial SSU rRNA". It matches the Rfam family "Bacterial small subunit ribosomal RNA", at positions 355 to 776 of the family's 1533-position model. The record is from RNAcentral.
UGGGGAAUCUUGCGCAAUGGGCGAAAGCCUGACGCAGCAACGCCGUGUGAGCGAAGAAGGCCUUCGGGUCGUAAAGCUCUGUCAGGGGGGACGAAGUCAGUGACGGUACCCCCGGAGGAAGCCCCGGCUAACUACGUGCCAGCAGCCGCGGUAAUACGUAGGGGGCGAGCGUUGUCCGGAAUUACUGGGCGUAAAGGGCGUGUAGGCGGCCGAUCAAGUCAGGUGUGAAAAUCCAGGGCUCAACCGUGGACGUGCACUUGAAACUGGUUGGCUUGAGUGCAGGAGAGGAAAGUGGAAUUCCCAGUGUAGCGGUGAAAUGCGUAGAUAUUGGGAGGAACACCAGUGGCGAAGGCGACUUUCUGGCCUGUAACUGACGCUGAGGCGCGAAAGCUAGGGGAGCAAACAGG